AAACCAACAGGGAUUGCCCUAGUAACGGCGAGUGAAGCGGCAACAGCUCAAAUUUGAAAUCUGGCCCCCGGGUCCGAGUUGUAAUUUGUAGAGGAUGCUUUUGGUGCGGUACCUUCCGAGUUCCCUGGAACGGGACGCCAUAGAGGGUGAGAGCCCCGUCUGGUUGGACGCCAAUCCUUUGUAAAGCUCCUUCAACGAGUCGAGUAGUUUGGGAAUGCUGCUCUAAAUGGGAGGUAUAUGUCUUCUAAAGCUAAAUAUUGGCCAGAGACCGAUAGCGCACAAGUAGAGUGAUCGAAAGAUGAAAAGCACUUUGAAAAGAGAGUUAAAAAGUACGUGAAAUUGUUGAAAGGGAAGCGCUCAUGACCAGACUUGGGCUUGGUUGAUCAUCCAGGGUUCUCCCUGGUGCACUCUUCCAGCCCAGGCCAGCAUCAGUUCGCUGUGGGGGAUAAAGGCUUCGGGAAUGUGGCUCCCUCGGGAGUGUUAUAGCCCGUUGUGUAAUACCCUGUGGUGGACUGAGGUUCGCGCAUUCGCAAGGAUGCUGGCGUAAUGGUCAUCAGCGACCCGUCUUGAAACACGGACCAAGGAGUCGUCUUCGUAUGCGAGUGUUCGGGUGUCAAACCCCUACGCGUAAUGAAAGUGAACGCAGGUGAGAGCUUCGGCGCAUCAUCGACCGAUCCUGAUGUUCUCGGAUGGAUUUGAGUAAGAGCAUACGGGGCCGGACCCGAAAGAAGGUGAACUAUGCCUGUAUAGGGUGAAGCCAGAGGAAACUCUGGUGGAGGCUCGCAGCGGUUCUGACGUGCAAAU
Molecule: ribosomal RNA, 804 nt
Filed under: Neonectria candida
Lineage: Eukaryota; Fungi; Ascomycota; Sordariomycetes; Hypocreales; Nectriaceae
Description: eukaryotic LSU rRNA
Rfam family: Eukaryotic large subunit ribosomal RNA
Source: RNAcentral